AUACGGAAGAUCCAAGCGUUAUCCGGAUUUAUUGGGUUUAAAGGAGCGUAGGCGGAAGUUCAAGUCAGUUGUGAAAGUCUGUGGCUUAACCAUAGAAUUGCAGUUGAAACUGAAUUUCUUGAGUGUAGAUAAGGAUGGUGGAAUUUGUGGUGUAGCGGUGAAAUGCAUAGAUAUCACGAAGAACUCCAAUUGCGAAGGCAGCUCACUGGGGUACAACUGACACUGAGGCUCGAAAGUGUGGGUAUC
Molecule: ribosomal RNA, 246 nt
Filed under: uncultured bacterium
Lineage: Bacteria
Description: partial 16S ribosomal RNA
Rfam family: Bacterial small subunit ribosomal RNA
Source: RNAcentral